AUGGAGGAUGUCCUCACCACUGACAUGGUCCCAGGUGAGGAGGAUGGCUUCUGUCACAGCUGUGCAGCACCCAGCACAACAGGAAUAGGGAAUAAUGUCCACAAAAGGAACAGAGCCGGACCUUGCCUGGUGCAGCCACACUGGGGCCUGUCAGCGCUUGGCACUUUGACAGCCCCAUGGCGAUGGGUACUGGGGGCCUGCAAGGUGAGGCAACGGAUGCCAUGGAACACAGGUGUGAGGAGUAAGGAGGGACAGUUCCCGUUCAUGCUUGGCCUGCUGUGCAGGAUAAAGUGGAGUGCAAGAGUGCAAGUGAUCCAUGAGUCCUGCCCCAUCUCCUCCUUGCAGUGCCCAUGCUUCAAGCAUCCUCCUCCCCUUGGGGAUGGGGAUAUGAUUGUUUCAAGGAAAGGCUGGGCUUCAUCAAGAGACCCAGACGUAAGGAAUGCUGCAAGGACUUGUGUCCAGUGCCCACCAGGAAGGGGCAUGGCUGUAGCACUGGAGCCUGAGAGUCUGCCCCUUGCACACCCUGCGAGGCUGCGUUCAGCCCGGGGGAUUGCUUCUGGGAUGGAAGAGUUAUCAAAGCUCCCAGAAACGUUGCUCUUAGUACUAGCAGUGUGUAUGUCACUCUUCCUUCAGCAAAGGGAAGCUCAAAGGAAGGCAGCGGGCUUGCUGCUUGUCCCAGUGCAACACCGUGCAGCUCCGGUACUGGGCGUCUGGAGGUUUCCGAGACCGACUUUCAGCAGCUGUGCGAGGGAAAGCUAUUCAAAUGGGAGAGGAGGAAAAAUGGAAAACUACUGA
RNAcentral lists this long non-coding RNA (795 nucleotides) under Numida meleagris (helmeted guineafowl). RNAcentral's name for it is "lncRNA (ENSNMEG00000015871.1)". Lineage: Eukaryota; Metazoa; Chordata; Aves; Galliformes; Numididae. The record is from RNAcentral.